This is a long non-coding RNA of Syzygium oleosum, 1575 nucleotides long. RefSeq lists it as uncharacterized. The record is from RefSeq and is a predicted model, not a curated record. Lineage: Eukaryota; Viridiplantae; Streptophyta; Magnoliopsida; Myrtales; Myrtaceae. The transcript is spliced from 4 exons.
AAGAACCCAGAACAUCAGUUGUUGUAGUAGUAGGUAGACUUUUUUCUAGAAGGUAUUGGGGGAAAACGAUGGUAGAAACAAAAUAGGGCGUUGUUUGCAAGACAAGAAUCAAUGUCAACCAGAGUAUUUGCAUCCAUGAGUAAUUUUGUACAAUACUAAAGGUCUUAAGGUAUUGAAACAGCUUUGAGUGAUCACAGAGAUGAUAGACUCUUUUUCAAAUUCUCUCCUUUUUCUCUCUUUCUGUAUCAGCCAAUAAAGGGUAAGCGGAAAUGAUGACCCCCAACUUUUUCUUGUUACAAGAGAUCUAAUGACACUGCCACACUCACAAUCCUUGCUCUAUAAGCCUGUGACACAAUUGAGACCGUUGUAGGCAGACAUGUAUGUUUAAUGUGGUAGUUUGACUUGUCAUCUUCUCUUCCUGUUUUUUUGGUAGAAGCAUCUUUUGGCCAUGAGCUUCCGUCUUCUUUUAGUAUUGUCCUAGGCGAAAAUUGUUUGUCAGUUGACUUCCCAAACAACGUAAGUAAGAACUUUUAUUUGCUUCUUAGCAUUUUCUGGUUUGAGAUCACCAUAAUUUGUGGAGUGUUACUUUUUUAAUUUGCAGUAGGUUUAGUCACUUUUUCUAAGUAGUUUCCUUUAACUUUCCUCACGUGAAUCAAGAGCAAUCUUAAUACACCAGUUGUCAAAGAAGAUUACUCAGAAGAUCCCAUUCAAGUUGCAUGGUCUUCCAGUUUCAUCAGUUUUGCAUCCUUCUCGAUCCAUCUUCUUUGUUUCAACUAAGAAGAAUGUUCGCAUGUAUGACCUCUUGAAGCAGAAACUCAUUAAAAAGCUUGAGACUGGACUUCGUGAAGUUUCCUCAAUUGCAAUUCAUCCUCAAGGGGAUAAUUUAAUUGUUGGAAGCAGAGAGAAAACUCUGUUGGUUUGAUAUGGACCUUUCGCCUCAACCUUACAAAACACUCCAGUGUCAUUCGAAGGACAUUACAAAUAUGGCCUUCCAUCGCUCAUACCCCCUUUUUGCAUCGUGUUCUGAUGAUUGCACAGCCUAUGUGUUCCAUGGCAUGGUUUAUUCAGAUUUCAACCAGAACCCUCUCAUUGUUCCGUUGGAAAUUCUCCGAGGGCAUGUAAGCUCAAAUGGAAGAGGGGUGAUGGAUUGCAAAUUCCAUCCACGGCAACCUUGGUUGUUCACAGCUGGUGCUGAUUCGGUGAUCCAACUUUACUGUCACUGAAAGAUGAUUCUUGAGAAAUGAUCCUUUGAUUUAUGCAUACUUGAAUGCGACGAUUAAACGGAGCCGUGCUCUAGAAGGAUGAUGCUGAGUCACAUGGCGAUAUAAAUUGAAACCAAAAUGGCGAUGGGAGGGCUGUCCAGCAGCCUUUUCUCAUAAGCUCUGGAUUAAUUUUGUUAUUCUGCAUACGCUAAAUAUAAAUAGGUUCUGAGCAUUAAUCUGGUAAAGAAUCAUAAGAGUUAUCAGUUAGACAAAUUUUCCCCUCAAUUUUGCCUUGUAUGUGGUCAAUUGAAUGUAUUCAGUAAAACUCGCAAUUGUUUUGUUUUUGUAUUUUGAAGGAAAGUUAGAGAAUGCU